AGAGACCCCAGAGAGUGAUGUCACCUCCGAUGCCACUUCUCUGGCGGACACACCCCGUGAGAUGACACCUGAGAACGUAGAGGAGGCGUCUUCUCUAGAGGACUUCCUGAAGUCUCACCCUCAGAGAAAGCGCAUUAGGAAGUUCCUCAAACAAAUGAAUGUGACCAUAGAGGACCUGGAGGACAUGUCCUAUGCGUUCCUCCUGCCAGCGAUAGCUCUGUUAAGGAUCUCCA
Long non-coding RNA from Coregonus clupeaformis (lake whitefish), 233 nucleotides. RefSeq lists it as uncharacterized. The transcript is spliced from 3 exons. NCBI's taxonomy places the organism in Eukaryota, Metazoa, Chordata, Actinopteri, Salmoniformes, Salmonidae. The record is from RefSeq and is a predicted model, not a curated record.